Molecule: ribosomal RNA, 460 nt
Filed under: uncultured bacterium
Lineage: Bacteria
Description: partial 16S ribosomal RNA
Rfam family: Bacterial small subunit ribosomal RNA
Source: RNAcentral
CUACGGGUCGCUGCAGUGAGGAAUAUUGGUCAAUGGGCGCGAGCCUGAACCAGCCAUCCCGCGUGCAGGAUGACGGCCCUAUGGGUUGUAAACUGCUUUUCUAUGCCAAGAAACCUGAUUACGUGUAAUCAGUUGCCGGUAGCAUAGGAAUAAGCAUCGGCUAACUCCGUGCCAGCAGCCGCGGUAAUACGGAGGAUGCAAGCGUGUAUCCGGAUUCAUUGGGUUUAAAGGGUGCGCAGGUGGGCUUGUAAGUCAGUGGUGAAAUGCUGCCGCUUAACGGUAGAACUGCCAUUGAUACUGCGAGUCUUGAGUAUGGUUGGGGUAGGCGGAAUGUGUUGUGUAGCGGUGAAAUGCAUAGAUAUGACACAGAACGCCAAUUGCGAAGGCAGCUUACUAAGCCAUUACUGACGCUGAGGCACGAAAGCGUGGGGAGCGAACAGGAUUAGAUACCCCGGUAGUC